GCCAUCUAGCAAUCGCUGAUCUUAAUCGUUCAGCUCUGCUUUCAGUGGUGGGGUUCACAUGUGAUUCCUAUGCCUCACUUGGUUAGCACUUGGCACCAAGAAAAUUUCCUCAAUUUAUUUAAUUGCAUAGGAACAAACGGGAAACGGUUUGCUUGGUGAUGGACAGAAAGUUCCCGGCAUAAAAUCUGAGAAAAAACAAUGUCACAGGCAGUGGGACCAGACGGUUCUGAUUCUCCGGCAAGAGGAAAUAGCAGUUGCAUGUUCUACAAGUUGAUGAUUGCUUCCAUUCUCCAAGAAAAGAAGCUGGUACUCUCGUUUCACUUGCAUUUCUACUUUCUUGCUUUAAUUUGUUUGGCUACUGAGAAGAUCGAAAUAGAAACUUCUUUCCCUUUUAUUGUAAUUUAUUUUUGAAAUAAUUAUAAAUUUUGUUAGGUUAGCUGAUAUUAUUGUCCUCCCUGUUUGUAAAAUUAGAAUUAAGAUAGGUGUGUGUUUGGUUGGUGGGAAAAUUGGGGGUUACUAUUUUUUACAGUUGUGGUUCAGCUUAGCUUUACCAGAUUAGUCAAUCGACUUUUGCAAUUUUUUACUUUUUCUACAAAUCUUUGGAUGCAUGGUGAUGAUUCUCUGACCUUAUGAUCAAAUAAAGGAAGUCUUUAAAUUUUGUUUGAUUGUUGGAAAAAUCAAGAAAUUGCUAGAGUAGAUUGAAUGCAUAUGGUUCAUUGCAGAGAUUAAAGACGAAAUUGUUGCAUUUGGUCAAUUUUUCGACUUCUGAUCGUUCGCUGACGACGUUUGUGUGUGGACCCUGUCUUACUUGGGUCUUUCUUUUAUCUUUUUUGUUCGUCAUUGGCAGUUUGGUGUAAUUUUUUCUUUCCUCUUUGGCUGUGAACAUCUCCUUUGUCCAUUAUUCUUAGCUGUUUAGUGUUCAAUGGUAUUUUCUUUUUUAUUUGAUGAUGGUUUUAGGAUUUUUUACAUUAUGAGUGGCUUGAAAAUAAUAUCUAUUUUGUUUUAGCUAAUUAAAGAUAUACUUCUUCUUUAUCAUCGCUUGAACAUGGUGAACCUGAACUAUGCCAUGGACUUGGUCUUGGAGAUUCAAUCACAAACAACUCUGACCCUAUUGCAUGCAAGUCUCCCGUAUGGCCAUCUCAUGAAGUGGUGAACAAGGUUUCCUUCAGUCAGACAAGAAAGAUGAGAUAGGUCUUUUAUUGCAUUGUAUAAGUCUUACAAAAUGGAGAUCUCUACACUGCUAAUAGUCUACUUAUCCUGGAAAUAAUAUUCUAGAGUCCGAAUAUACCACUCUUUAGAAAGUUUCUUCAAUUUCUGUAUAUGAUUGCAGUUCAAGGGUACUACCUCUUUUAUAUAGCACUCUUCUGUAGCUAUUUUAUGCUUUGGCAUGUCACAUUGAAGUAACUAUGAGCCUUCCUUUUUAGUCUUUUGUUGCACUUGUUCUUCAAAAAAGCAUUAUUGUAUUAAUGUCUGCUCAUCUCAUCUAAAUGAAGUCCAGAAAGUUUCUGGAAACUCUGGUUGUCAAAUUUAGUCUCAAAAUUCUGGCCUUCUGAAGUUGUUUCUUCUUUGUUAUGAAGUUGACUUUAUUUUUAUGCCAACAGAGGAUCCCUGAAAAGUUUGUCAAGAAAUAUGGAGAUGAACUUUCUUCUAUUGCUACACUUACUGUUCCCAAUGGUCGUAUGUGGCUGGUGGAACUAGAAAAAGUUGACAGGAAGUUAUGGUUCCACAAUGGUUGGCAUGAAUUUGUAGAAUACUACUCCAUUCGUGUUGGGUAUUUCUUGGUCUUCAGAUAUGGAGGGGAAUCAAACUUUAAUGUUUAUAUAUUUGAUCUGGCAGUUUCUGAGAUAAGUUACACAUGUAAUAUUCCGGGUAGUUUGCAGGAACCAUGUCAUGAUAAUCAAUACAUAGUAGCCGAUAAGAGACGUGUAGUGGAUAAUGACCUCAUAGAGAUCUUGGGUUCUGGCCCACCAUGCCAUACUCCUAUUUCCUCAAGAAGCGAAUUUUUUGAUAAAUAUGUGCAUUGCAACUGGACUAUAGCUGGAAACUAUGAGGCCAGCAGAGAGAAACUGCUUCUAAGAAAAGAUAAAUAUGAUAUGGAAGAAAAAGUUCAAUCUUCUCAGGAUAUAGGUGUACAGGUUGAUGAGAGUGAGCUUAUAAGAACUGCUGAUAAAGUUGGUUUGCCUGUCUUGGGUGAAGCAGAAGGGAGAACCAGGAGAAGAAAACAGAGAACUGAUCCUAGUAAGUUCUUGCACUCAAUGCCCUUUUUAUAAUAUGCUACAACUUCACUUUUUUCCAUUACUAACUCAUCCAUGGUGUAGUUGAACAUGAACCAAUAAUCAAACAGGAAGUGGAUGAAAUACCAAUUUGUACAAGUACAAAUAUUGCUUCUGAAACUUUUACAAGAAGGUGGAGACCUGUAACGCCAGAAGAGAAGCGGAGAACAAUUUCUGCUGCUGAUAAGUUCAAGUCUGAUAAUCCAUUUUUCAAGGUUAUCUUGCGACCAUCCUAUGUAUAUAGGGGCUUUCUUCUGCACAUUCCAUCUAGCUUUGCUCGAAAGUAUUUGACAGUCACAGCAUUCAUCACACUUCAGGUUUCUGAUGGAAAACAAUGGCCUGUCCGCUGUGUUAGUGGGAAAGGGGGAGCUAAGUUAAGCAAGGGAUGGACAGAAUUUGUAUGGGAAAAUAGUUUGGAAGAAGGAGAUGUUUGUGUCUUUGAGCUG
RNAcentral lists this unclassified non-coding RNA (2719 nucleotides) under Hevea brasiliensis (rubber tree). Lineage: Eukaryota; Viridiplantae; Streptophyta; Magnoliopsida; Malpighiales; Euphorbiaceae. The record is from RNAcentral.